Molecule: ribosomal RNA, 1346 nt
Filed under: uncultured bacterium
Lineage: Bacteria
Description: bacterial SSU rRNA
Rfam family: Bacterial small subunit ribosomal RNA
Source: RNAcentral
GACGAACGCUUGCGGCGUGCUUAACACAUGCAAGUCGAACGGAAAGGCCCUGCUUUUGUGGGGUGCUCGAGUGGCGAACGGGUGAGUAACACGUGAGUAACCUGCCCUUGACUUUGGGAUAACUUCAGGAAACUGGGGCUAAUACCGGAUAGGAGCUCCUGCUGCAUGGUGGGGGUUGGAAAGUUUCGGCGGUUGGGGAUGGACUCGCGGCUUAUCAGCUUGUUGGUGGGGUAGUGGCUUACCAAGGCUUUGACGGGUAGCCGGCCUGAGAGGGUGACCGGCCACAUUGGGACUGAGAUACGGCCCAGACUCCUACGGGAGGCAGCAGUGGGGAAUAUUGCACAAUGGGCGGAAGCCUGAUGCAGCAACGCCGCGUGCGGGAUGACGGCCUUCGGGUUGUAAACCGCUUUCGCCUGUGACGAAGCGUGAGUGACGGUAAUGGGUAAAGAAGCACCGGCUAACUACGUGCCAGCAGCCGCGGUGAUACGUAGGGUGCGAGCGUUGUCCGGAUUUAUUGGGCGUAAAGGGCUCGUAGGUGGUUGAUCGCGUCGGAAGUGUAAUCUUGGGGCUUAACCCUGAGCGUGCUUUCGAUACGGGUUGACUUGAGGAAGGUAGGGGAGAAUGGAAUUCCUGGUGGAGCGGUGGAAUGCGCAGAUAUCAGGAGGAACACCAGUGGCGAAGGCGGUUCUCUGGGCCUUUCCUGACGCUGAGGAGCGAAAGCGUGGGGAGCGAACAGGCUUAGAUACCCUGGUAGUCCACGCUGUAAACGGUGGGUACUAGGUGUGGGGUCCAUUCCACGGGUUCCGUGCCGUAGCUAACGCUUUAAGUACCCCGCCUGGGGAGUACGGCCGCAAGGCUAAAACUCAAAGGAAUUGACGGGGCCCCGCACAAGCGGCGGAGCAUGCGGAUUAAUUCGAUGCAACGCGUAGAACCUUACCUGGGUUUGACAUGGAUCGGGAGUGCCCAGAGAUGGGUGUGCCUCUUUUGGGGUCGGUUCACAGGUGGUGCAUGGCUGUCGUCAGCUCGUGUCGUGAGAUGUUGGGUUAAGUCCCGCAACGAGCGCAACCCUUGUUCACUGUUGCCAGCACGUUAUGGUGGGGACUCAGUGGAGACCGCCGGGGUCAACUCGGAGGAAGGUGGGGAUGACGUCAAGUCAUCAUGCCCCUUAUGUCCAGGGCUUCACGCAUGCUACAAUGGCUGGUACAGAGAGUGGCGAGCCUGUGAGGGUGAGCGAAUCUCGGAAAGCCGGUCUCAGUUCGGAUUGGGGUCUGCAACUCGACCUCAUGGAGUCGGAGUCGCUAGUAAUCGCAGAUCAGCAACGCUGCGGUGAAUACGUUCCCGGGGCU